Molecule: small nucleolar RNA, 150 nt
Organism: Cricetulus griseus (Chinese hamster)
Lineage: Eukaryota; Metazoa; Chordata; Mammalia; Rodentia; Cricetidae
Product: small nucleolar RNA SNORA8
Source: Ensembl
UGUAUCCUAUGGGUAUCUGCACUCAUGCUAGUAUGUUCAAGGGACAGUGCAAUAGAAAUUCACUAUCUGGCAUUGUAGGCUUUGUUCUCCGCUUUGUAGAUUUUUUGGCUUUGUGUGCUUGUUAAACCUGGUAUUUCCAUUGAUGCUGUU